GACGAACGCUGGCGGCGUGCUUACACAUGCAAGUCGAACAGUAAGGCCCUUCGGGGUACACGAGUGGCGAACGGGUGAGUAACAUGUGGGUGAUCUGCCCUGCACUUCGGGAUAAGCCUGGGAAACUGGGUCUAAUACCGGAUAGGACCCUGGGAUGCAUGUCCUGGGGUGGAAAGCUUUUGCGGUGUGGGAUGGGCCCGCGGCCUAUCAGCUUGUUGGUGGGGUGAUGGCCUACCAAGGCGACGACGGGUAGCCGGCCUGAGAGGGUGACCGGACACACUGGGACUGAGAUACGGCCCAGACUCCUACGGGAGGCAGCAGUGGGGAAUAUUGCACAAUGGGCGCAAGCCUGAUGCAGCGACGCCGCGUGAGGGAUGACGGCCUUCGGGUUGUAAACCUCUUUCAGCACCGACGAAGCGCAAGUGACGGUAGGUGCAGAAGAAGGACCGGCCAACUACGUGCCAGCCGCCGCAGUAA
This 477-nucleotide ribosomal RNA is filed under the name uncultured bacterium. RNAcentral describes it as "partial 16S ribosomal RNA". It matches the Rfam family "Bacterial small subunit ribosomal RNA", at positions 28 to 523 of the family's 1533-position model. The record is from RNAcentral.